CCUCACCAACCCUAUUAAGGUUAUAAUGUUUAUAUCUUUGCAUAUGGCCAAACUGGAUCCGAAAAACACAUAUAAUGGUAACAUACUUUCUCAUUUCUAUAAAUUAUACAGUAUGUAUCUCAAAGAAUAUUAAGUAUUUAACAUAUAAUACAUUUGUUUUGUUAGUCGUCUAGGACCAAAGGAUCUUAUUGUAACGUCCAGGUUUUUCUACCAGGGUACACCCUAAAAUUUCAUUUCCCUUUUAAAAUUUACAAAUAGUUUUUUGUGUACACUAGCACGGUGGUAUAGAAGAAGUUAUCAUAAGGAUCAUAUUGGCCUCAAGUACAUGAUGUAGUCGGGCGUCAAAAUAAACUACCUGUAAAAUAGAUCAUCACAAAAACGUAAGACUCAUGACUUAGUGAAUAACAAUUAUAAUAACAUAAUCUCAUAGAUCAUAUAAAUCACAUAAUUAAACCGAACCACACCAAAAUUUUUAGUUUUUUGAAAAUUUAAAACCGCACCAUUGGUCUUAUGUUCGUUUUUGGUUUUUCGGUUAUUUUGCAGUUUUUCUGUUUUCGGUUUGGUUUUUGCUUACCCCUACGUCUUAUGGUAACACAUUAAUGAAUCUUACUCGACCUCGUAACUCUUGUACAACAUUAUAUUUCAUCCGCUAUAAUCUUCCGAGAACGACUUCCGAGUGCCAAAGUCCCCUAAAUGACACAAAAACACACAUAUUUAUACUCUACAGUGCCCUAUGUGGUGGCCAUAAGCAUGCCACAUCGUGGUGAUCAAGUAAAAUCCUGUUUCACCACAUGUCGCACUCUCCCACCACGUGUCUCGGUGACUCGCCUCAUACCACAUUGUGGUGAAUCUACUACCACGUCAUGGUGAUGAGAUAGACUCCGUCUAGCCACGUGUCGCUCUCCGGUUGACAUUUGUAUUGAUGAUUCACUCAUUGCCAUGUCGUGGCAAGCAUACAACCACAUUAUGGUGAUCAAGAGUGUGACCGUUCACUUGACUUAUAUUGACUUUCUCAAAAUAGCAAUGCACUUUCAUCUUAAUCUUCAAUACGGUCAUAAAUUUCUCACACGAACUCCGUUUUCGAUGAUAAUUAUAUCCACAAAAUCAUCUCAACAAGAUCUAGAACACUCCUUUGUUAUCUUUUGCUAAAUAACAUUUCUCAAUUUAAAGCAACACUAGUUUUUAUUUCAUCUCUUAUCUCAUAACCACUUGAAUUCUCCGGAAAUCAGUAGACAGGUACCGACACAGGUUUUGUGAAGACGAAGCAUAGCAAUGUUAUGUAUUAUAUUUUUGCCAUAUGUUUUUGGAGUCAAACAAACAAUGAUUCGAACUAAAUGUAAAUAUUAAAUUAUCAAUACAACAUUUGUAAUGUUUUUAUCUCUAUUAUGCAAUUGUUAUGAUACUGUACAUGACGUCAUCUGCCCCCGGACGUUUCCGCCGUUUUAUCUAUUCGGGGGUGUGACAUAAGGCUUGAAUUUUUCCACAUUAGUAUGUAUAAAAGGAUGGCAUUACUAGUAAGAAAAGGUUGUUAUUUUGGUGCAUUCCACUCCUUCUCUUGGAUUCCAUUUCCAUGAAUUUGGAUCCCUUAUCCCUCUUUUUUUUCUUGCAAUUUGGUUCUAGAUUUUAAUGUUCAUAAGUUGCUUCUCGUUAAGGCUUAUUUGGUAUAAAUCUUAAUGGAUUAAGAACAAAUAAUUAAAAGUGAAGUAUUAAUCAUCUAUUACUGAUUAAUGAUAUCCAAUGAAAGUGUCAGACCGUGCAAAUGUUUUUAUCAUGUGAUUAUAAUAAAGACCCAUGGCCACGAUACAAUGACUAGUACAAUGAGUCACUCUACCUAAAAAACCAAAUAAUGUAAAAAUUAAUGCCUUGCAACAAUGUAAAACUAUAAUCUUUGUAAACAUUAUCAUUUUUUUCAUAUUGCAUAUGUAUCUCCUUUAAUGCAAAAUAAGAUAUAUGACACAAAAGCUUUCUAAAAAUGGGCACAUUAUUAGAUUUUGUGAGUUGCAAGUUUCACUUUAAUCGUGUUGAAUUCAUGUCUGAUUGCAAUAAAAAUAUUUUUUUGACUACUUUGAAAGACACCCAUGGAUAUUUGUAUAGACAAUAUGUGUUUGGUGUUAACAUCUUCACACCUUGAAAAUAAUCGAUAUAAUGAUGGAUGCACAAAGAUAUCGGUAGAAGGUUUAUGGUUGUAAGUCAACUUGUUUUCCUUAUGUAACCCUAGAUCCAUCAUUUCUCUUCAUACGUACAAUUUGGAAGGGGAAUUUGAUCAAACGAGAUCCGUUGUUCUUCCUUUUAUCUCAAAUACACAAUCUAUUUACGUAUAAAUCAACAUGAUCACAUUGCAACGUGACAUAUUUGUAUUUUCUUGAAUCCCAAAUAAAUACUCAAUAUCCUUUAGUGACUCUUUAGUAAUUGAUCAUAUGAUUUAGAUUUGGAGUUAACUAAAUCGAAUUCUUCGUUUUAUAUCAUAGAACUUGAUAAAUCUAUUCCUCCUGUUGAAUCAAUUUUAAAACAAUCAUACUUCACAUUCAAGAACCAAACACAUGGUUUUAACAUAAUAAUAAUUAAUAUAUUAACACAUUGUUUUAAAAGAAUGAAAACCAACCAUAAUAUUUCGAGUUUUUUUUUUGUCCCUCACCAACCCUAUUAAGGUUAUAAUGUUUAUAUCUUUGCAUAUGGCCAAACUAGAUCCGAAAAACACAUAUAAUGGUAACAUACUUUCUCAUUUCUAUAAAUUAUACAGUAUGUAUCUCAAAGAAUAUUAAGUAUUUAACAUAUAAUACAUUUGUUUAGUUAGUCGUCUAGGACCAAAGGAUCUUAUUGUAACGUCCAGGUUUGUCUACCAGGGUACACCCUAAAAUUUCAUUUCUCUUCUAAAAUUUACAAAUAGUUUUUUGUGUACACUAGCACGGUGGUAUAGAAGAAGUUAUCAUAAGGAUCAUAUUGGCCUCAAGUACAUGAUGUAGUCCGGCGUCAAAAUAAACUACAUGUAAAAUAGAUCAUCACAAAAAUGUAAGCCUCAUGACUUAGUGAAUAACAAUUAUAAUAACGUAAUCUCAUAGAUCAUAUAAAUCACAUAAUUAAACCGAACCAUACCAAAAUUUUUAGUUUUUUGAAAAUUUAAAACCACACCAUUGGUCUUAUGUUCGUUUUUGGUUUUUCGGUUAUUUUGCAGUUUUUCUGUUAUCUGUUUGGUUUUUGCUUACCCUUACGUCUUAUGGUAACACAUCAAUGAAUCUCGUAGUCGACCUCGUGUCUCUUGUACAACAUUAUAUUUCAUCCGCUAUAAUCUUCCAAGAACGACUUACGAGUGCCAAAGUCCCCUAUAUGACACAAAAACACACAUAUUUAUACUCUAUAGUGCCCCACGUGGUGGCCAUAAGCAUGCCACAUCGUGGUGAUCAAGUAAAAUCCUGUUUCACCACAUGUCGCACUCUCCCACCACGUGUCUCGGUGACUCGCCUCAUACCACAUUGUGGUGAAUCUACUACCACGUUGUGGUGAUGAGAUAGACUCCGUCUAGCCACGUGUCGCUCUCCGGUUGACAUGUGUAUUGAUGAUUCACUCAUUGCCAUGUCGUGGCAAGCAUACAACCACAUUGUGGUGGUCAAGAGUGUGACCGUUCACUUGACUUCUGUUGACUUUCUCAAAAUAGCAAUGCACUUUCAUCUAAAUCUUCAAUACGGUCAUAAAUUUCUCAUACGAACUCCGUUUUCGAUGAUAAUUAUAUCCACAAAAUCAUCUCAACAAGAUCUAAAACACUCCUUAAUUAUCUUUUGCUAAACAACAUUUCUCAAUUUAAAGCACCUCAAAGUUUUAUUUCAUCUCUUAUCUCAUAAAAUUUACGCCCCGUAAAAUAAUACAUGUUACGAAAAACCAAGUGUUACACUUAUAGAGACUAGUCAAGAAGUCAAACUAAAAAUGUAUUAUUUUCCUCUAAGGAUAUACAAAACAUAUACUUUUCAUUCAAUAAAUUUAACAUGUAAUCCAUUUGCUUGUUAUUUAACAUAUAAUUCAUUUUAGUGGUCUAGUUACGGAGAGUUUAAAAAAAAAAAAAAGAUAUCGUUUUUUUCCAAUUGUUAUAUUAAAUGUUUGCAUCGAAACAAAAACAUUUUUAUUGUCUGCUUCCUUAAUAUGAUAUUAUAUUAGAAAUUGGUAACAAUUCACGUGAUGGAUUCAAUGUUGUCUACAUGGAAUCAAUGUAUGAUGUUAUUAAUCUAAUGAAACUAGGGCACAAAAUCAUGUUGUUUUUGUAAUUGCAACUGUUUUAAAUGACCGUACUUUAAGCAAUAUACAUAGAAUUUGGAGUUACCGUUUGAGAGUCGGCUGAAAAAGAAGCGGCUGAAGAGCAACCUCAAAGGAGUGUAUGUUUCGUCGUGCGUGGUUUGGACUCCCGAGCCUAAUCAUGAGUUUUUUAGAAACAAAAAACUGAAAUUUCUCCCUAUUAAAUAAAUAGGUUAUAAUCGUCACUAUAUAAAUAACUAAACAUCAAAAUAUGCCGCGGAAAUAUAAGCGUCCUAAGUAUUAUAGACAAACAAGUCAAAUAUUUUACGAAGGGUGACGAUGUCGAUUCUUUGUUUUGUUUGUUAUGCCGUCCAAAACUAAGAUUCUGCGCACAAAGAGAUUGUUAGUGUCUUCUACACCUUUAUCUAGAAAAUGCUUUUAUGUCUUCCUAUGUAAACAAAUUGACAAGUGUUAUCAUCUCAUUGGCUGGCUGAUUUGGAUCCCCCAAUCACUUUAUCCAUUUAUAAUUCAUUACCAAAACUCUCCAC
Molecule: long non-coding RNA, 4769 nt
Filed under: Lactuca sativa (garden lettuce)
Lineage: Eukaryota; Viridiplantae; Streptophyta; Magnoliopsida; Asterales; Asteraceae
Description: long non-coding RNA (LSAT_LNC005232)
Source: RNAcentral